UCCAGGGUAGCCUAGUGGACAUGGCACCUGCCCGGUAAGCAGAAGGUUGUGGGUUCGAGUCCCGCCCCUGGAC
This 73-nucleotide transfer RNA is filed under the name Cordylochernes scorpioides. Its description in RNAcentral is "tRNA-Thr". It matches the Rfam family "tRNA". From Rfam's summary of the family: Transfer RNA (tRNA) molecules are approximately 80 nucleotides in length. Their secondary structure includes four short double-helical elements and three loops (D, anti-codon, and T loops). Further hydrogen bonds mediate the characteristic L-shaped molecular structure. tRNAs have two regions of fundamental functional importance: the anti-codon, which is responsible for specific mRNA codon recognition, and the 3' end, to which the tRNAs corresponding amino acid is attached (by aminoacyl-tRNA synthetases). tRNAs cope with the degeneracy of the genetic code in two manners: having more than one tRNA (with a specific anti-codon) for a particular amino acid; and 'wobble' base-pairing, i.e. permitting non-standard base-pairing at the 3rd anti-codon position. The record is from RNAcentral. Lineage: Eukaryota; Metazoa; Arthropoda; Arachnida; Pseudoscorpiones; Chernetidae.